Molecule: ribosomal RNA, 300 nt
Filed under: uncultured Streptomyces sp.
Lineage: Bacteria; Bacillati; Actinomycetota; Actinomycetes; Kitasatosporales; Streptomycetaceae
Description: partial 16S ribosomal RNA
Rfam family: Bacterial small subunit ribosomal RNA (bases 52-300)
Source: RNAcentral
GCGAAGUGCGUGCCGGCUGGAGAGAGAAUAGGGGGGGGGGGGGGGUGGUUGGGGAUGAUUGGUCGUAAAGGGUGGGUAGGGGGGGGCGUAAGUCUGGAGUGAAAUCUGCAGGGUCAACGUGGAGUCUGCUGCCGGAACUGCGGGGCUUGAGUAUGGGAGAGGUGAGUGGAAUUCCCGGUGUAGCGGUGAAAUGCGUAGAUAUCGGGAAGAACACCUGUGGCGAAAGCGGCUCACUGGACCAUAACUGUCGCUGAGGCGCGAAAGCUAGGGGAGCAAACAGGAUUAGAUACCCCAGUAGUC